RNAcentral lists this ribosomal RNA (465 nucleotides) under uncultured bacterium. RNAcentral describes it as "partial 16S ribosomal RNA". It matches the Rfam family "Bacterial small subunit ribosomal RNA", at positions 28 to 507 of the family's 1533-position model. The record is from RNAcentral.
GACGAACGCUGGCGGCGUGCUUAACACAUGCAAGUCGAACGGAAAGGCCCCUUUGGGGGUACUCGAGUGGCGAACGGGUGAGUAACACGUGAGUAACCUGCCCUUGACUUCGGGAUAACUUCAGGAAACUGGGGCUAAUACCGGAUAGGAAUCCUUGCUGCAUGGUGGGGGUUGGAAAGCUUCGGCGGUUUUGGAUGGACUCGCGGCUUAUCAGCUUGUUGGUGGGGUAGUGGCUUACCAAGGCUUUGACGGGUAGCCGGCCUGAGAGGGCGACCGGCCACAUUGGGACUGAGAUAAGGCCCAGACUCCUACGGGAGGCAGCAGUGGGGAUUAUUGAACAAUGGGCGGAAGCCUGAUGCAGCAACGCCGCGGGCGGGAUGACGGCCUUCGGGUUGUAAACCGCUUUCAGCAGGGGCGAAGCUUGUGGUGACGGUACCUGCAGAAGAAGCACCGGCUAACUACGUG